CAUUAUUUCCAUUUCACAUAUUAUAUUCAUACAAUUUAGUGGUUGAUUGUAAAAUAUAUCAACGUUUUUGUUCACAACCAAAUAAGGCAACGUUGUAUACUAAUUUUAUCACAAUAAUUGCGAUAUGGUAUUUAUAAUUAAUUACGUUUAUUAGUCAACCGCACAACGAAACAUAAAUAUUAACUAUAAUUAACAUAAUUAUAAUUGUUAUUGAUAUCUCUCUUUAAUCUUUUAAUAUUUUUACUGUGAACGCAGUGUAGAAGUUACUUCAGUUUCUUUUUAGCUUUUGGAGUAAUACCCGCUCGGGCAGACUGCUUAGGAACACACGAGCUACAACUUAGAAGGAUAAACUUAUACGUGUGAUAAAAUUCCUAAACACCGUCAGUCAAAAAUCAUGAAAUUUUAUUCGUUAUUGGUCAUGGCAGUUAUCGUGGGAUUGGCGGCAUCAGAUUGUGGAAAAGAUGAAUACUACCAAAAUGAUAUUUGUAUGGAGCACUGUGCUUUUCCGAUAUCGGCAGAUGAUCGUUAUGUUAGAGGUACAUGUGUAUUAUCGUCUAAAUAUAAAGUCAAGUAUGGAUCGUCUGGUUUUGUAUGGCAAAAUUGUUGGAAAUGUACCCCAGAUGUUUUACGUUAUUGAUAAAUUUCGAUAUAGAGACUCCUAACUUUGUGUUAUUUUUUUGUUAAUAUUCUAUUACAUUCGAUUUAUAAUGUUAAAUAGCUAACAAUUAAAAAGUCACAGAGUCUCAAUAUUAUACUUUUUAUGAUAUUAUAUAGUAUUAAAAUAUCUAAUGUAUCUUUAAGUAUAAUAUUAUACUAGGUAUAUAUUAAUAUAAUAUAUAAACUGGAUUUAAAUAUAAUUUGUUUUGUGUAAAAAUAGUUUUGGUCCUUUAAAUUAACUGAUAUAUUAUGAUAUGCAAAUGUAUAACAAUAAUACUGUAAUGAUGUAAAUCAGGGGCUAAAAUACUGUGUUCCCUGAUAUACUUUGUGUCCCCUGAAUAACAAAUGACAUGUGUGUUCCAAGUUUUAUAACGUGUUUUUAGUUUUAUAGAAAUAACAAACAUUAAUCAUUUAAUAUUUUAAUUUACUAGUUACCUAUUCUGUUAACUUAAGUUAAUUACCUACCUACUUAUUUUAUUUCUAUACUAUGGACAAGUUUGUUAUAAAAAAAAAAGAAGAAAUGAUAAUGGGUCAAUUCAAAGUAAUUAGGUACCUGCUUUAGUAUAAAUUAACUAAACAUGCAGGUACAUAGAAUAUUUAAAUUAUUCUAUGCUGUGUUUAUUAAAAUAUAAUAUUGUUUAUAUUGUAAUAUCUACUGAAAAGUUGACUAGUAAGAGCAUCGUAAUUUAUAGAAUAUUGUCAUAAUAUUAUAUAAUUAUAUAGGUAUAGGUACUAUAGCAUAUUAUAAAUAUGUAUUGAUGUUUAUUUUAAGUCUAAAAUAUAUUAAAAUACCGUCAAACGGCCGAACUUGGGGCAGUUUUGAAAUUCUAAUGUAAAUAACUUUAAGAUUAAUUAAUCUAGACAUAUUUUCAAUGUAAUAUUAUUUUUAAAUUAAGGUUUGAUACUUUGAUGUAUUGAUAUCUGUUGCAUUUGAAUCAUACAAAUUAUUCCUUC
This is a long non-coding RNA of Metopolophium dirhodum (rose-grain aphid), 1611 nucleotides long. RefSeq lists it as uncharacterized. The transcript has 2 exons. The record is from RefSeq and is a predicted model, not a curated record. NCBI's taxonomy places the organism in Eukaryota, Metazoa, Arthropoda, Insecta, Hemiptera, Aphididae.